This 449-nucleotide ribosomal RNA is filed under the name uncultured bacterium. Its description in RNAcentral is "partial 16S ribosomal RNA". It matches the Rfam family "Bacterial small subunit ribosomal RNA", at positions 29 to 523 of the family's 1533-position model. The record is from RNAcentral.
AACGAACGCUGGCGGCAUGCCUAACACAUGCAAGUCGAACGAGAUCUUCGGGUCUAGUGGCGCACGGGUGCGUAACGCGUGGGAAUCUGCCCUUUGGUUCGGAAUAACAGUUGGAAACGACUGCUAAUACCGGAUGAUGACGAAAGUCCAAAGAUUUAUCGCCAGAGGAUGAGCCCGCGUAGGAUUAGCUGGUUGGUGUGGUAAAGGCGCACCAAGGCGACGAUCCUUAGCUGGUCUGAGAGGAUGACCAGCCACACUGGGACUGGGACACGGCCCAGACUCCGACGGGAGGCAGCAGUGGGGAAUAUUGGACAAUGGGCGAAAGCCUGAUCCAGCAAUGCCGCGUGAGUGAUGAAGGCCUUAGGGUUGUAAAGCUCUUUUACCCGGGAUGAUAAUGACAGUACCGGGAGAAUAAGCUCCGGCUAACUCCGUGCCAGCCGCCGCCGUAA